GCAUUUUCAGGGAUGGAAUCUUCGAGUCUUUUUUCAUUUUACAUAUGAUAUGAUUUCUCGUAGACUGCCCCUUCUUUUCUACUGGGUUUCGAAUAGAAAAAUCCCUUUUUUUGUCGAUUGAUACCUAAUCUAUGUAAAAUCCCUGAACUUCAUUUGGUUAUUCCUUUCUAUUCUUUUUCAAAUUCCCUAAAUCAUGAAUUGGGAAUUGACUUCUGACUCGUAAAUCCUAUAAAUAAAUUAUUUAAAGAACUGUUCCAGAAACAAAUGAUCGCUUUUAUCACUCUCGUUCCCAGCGGAUCCCCAGAUAUACUACUCUCCUUUUAUCAAAUAAUCUUAUCUUAUUCUUGAAUGUUGUUCGUGAAAUAAAAAAAAAGGGGUUUUUUAUAUUGUGUAUGUCUAGGAAACAACUAGAGGAUCAUAUUUUUUCUUUCUAUUUGACAUUUAUUUCUUUUAUUGUCUUCUUUGUUCUUUUUUUGUUUCGUUCAUAUUAAAAAAAUCCCAAAGUAUACUUUUUUGCAGAUCCAGGUAAGAAAUUCGAAUAUUUUUUUCUAUUUAUUUUUUUUAUCUAUCUGUCAAAUUUUUAAAUAUUGUAUCGAAUUUUAUUUCUAUCGAAUUUGAAUAUCAGAAUAGUAGAUAUAGUUAUGAUUCAAUGGGUUAGGUCCACUUACUUUUUUUAGAAUCUUUCGUA
RNAcentral lists this long non-coding RNA (688 nucleotides) under Cicer arietinum (chickpea). RNAcentral describes it as "long non-coding RNA (CARI_LNC003702)". The record is from RNAcentral. Lineage: Eukaryota; Viridiplantae; Streptophyta; Magnoliopsida; Fabales; Fabaceae.